RNAcentral lists this ribosomal RNA (350 nucleotides) under Staphylococcus epidermidis NIHLM070. RNAcentral's name for it is "bacterial SSU rRNA". It matches the Rfam family "Bacterial small subunit ribosomal RNA", at positions 1190 to 1533 of the family's 1533-position model. The record is from RNAcentral. Lineage: Bacteria; Bacillati; Bacillota; Bacilli; Caryophanales; Staphylococcaceae.
UCAUCAUGCCCUUAUGAUUUGGGCUACACACGUGCUACAAUGGACAAUACAAAGGGCAGCGAAACCGCGAGGUCAAGCAAAUCCCAUAAAGUUGUUCUCAGUUCGGAUUGUAGUCUGCAACUCGACUAUAUGAAGCUGGAAUCGCUAGUAAUCGUAGAUCAGCAUGCUACGGUGAAUACGUUCCCGGGUCUUGUACACACCGCCCGUCACACCACGAGAGUUUGUAACACCCGAAGCCGGUGGAGUAACCAUUUGGAGCUAGCCGUCGAAGGUGGGACAAAUGAUUGGGGUGAAGUCGUAACAAGGUAGCCGUAUCGGAAGGUGCGGCUGGAUCACCUCCUUUCUAAGGA